GAUGAACGCUGGCGGCGUGCCUAAUACAUGCAAGUCGAGCGAUCAGACGAGGAGCUUGCUCCUCUGACGUUAGCGGCGGACGGGUGAGUAACACGUGGAUAACCUACCUAUAAGACUGGGAUAACUUCGGGAAACCGGAGCUAAUACCGGAUAAUAUAUUGAACCGCAUGGUUCAAUAGUGAAAGACGGUUUUGCUGUCACUUAUAGAUGGAUCCGCGCCGCAUUAGCUAGUUGGUAAGGUAACGGCUUACCAAGGCAACGAUGCGUAGCCGACCUGAGAGGGUGAUCGGCCACACUGGAACUGAGACACGGUCCAGACUCCUACGGGAGGCAGCAGUAGGGAAUCUUCCGCAAUGGGCGAAAGCCUGACGGAGCAACGCCGUGUGAGUGAUGAAGGUCUUCGGAUCGUAAAACUCUGUUAUUAGGGAAGAACAAAUGUGUAAGUAUCUAUGCACGUCUUGACGGUACCUAAUCAGAAAGCCACGGCUAACUACGUG
This 497-nucleotide ribosomal RNA is filed under the name uncultured bacterium. RNAcentral describes it as "partial 16S ribosomal RNA". It matches the Rfam family "Bacterial small subunit ribosomal RNA", at positions 28 to 507 of the family's 1533-position model. The record is from RNAcentral.